UUAACCCCCAAAAUUGAGCCCUCACAACAAAAAACAACAGGCCCUAAGCCAAAUACUCUUGUAGCUUAAUAAUAAAGC
This 78-nucleotide transfer RNA is filed under the name Paleosuchus trigonatus (Schneider's dwarf caiman). Its description in RNAcentral is "partial tRNA-Thr". The record is from RNAcentral. Lineage: Eukaryota; Metazoa; Chordata; Crocodylia; Alligatoridae.